ACAGUACCUGCAACAAAGCUCACUAGUCCCUUUCCAUGGAAGCCUCGCGACCUCGUCGUACAUCGCAAUAACUCACUGUCAACCGAUAGCAGCACCUACUCCCCUUUACUCAUGCCCCGGCUACGGGAACCGACCUCCAUUCCUGCCAGCAACAUGCGUGUAGGAGCUUGCAAGUUGUCCGCCACCGCCUUCUCAGCUUUUGAUGCACCAUCGACACAUCUCGUCGUGCAAGUGGACCUUUCCCCAAGGAGACGCCACGCUGCCGAACUCGGACACGUCGCUGCCGAACUUGAGAGGACGCCACGAGCAGAGAGAGAGAGCAGCAGCUCGACGACGCCCUCAUGCACGUCCGUCCAGCCAGGCUGCCCUCCGCAAUCCACGCUUGAGCCGUGCCCCACUGCAGGUCGAAUCGUCCUGCCAGCCUUGGAACUCCUCGACGUCGCUGUGCCAUCGUUGCAGCGCACAAUUCGCCGGCCGAGAUUUUUCUCGCCACGAACCGCCUUUGGCCGCCUGUAAAUUGAGCCGGGUGCUGCACCGUGACGCCUCACACCAUCCACAGCUCGUCGCCGUACACACUAGCCACAGACCAAGUCCUUCUUCUUCCUCUAGCCGAAGAACAGAGCACCGUCGAUCUCCUUCCUCAGCUCGAUUGAGCCGCAGAAUCGAUUCCGGAGGAGAGUCCGGAGGAACCAGGAGACCAGGAAGACGCCGCCGCCGCCGGGUACGUAAGCGAAGGAAAGUCUCAUCGAUCCCUUACUUUGACCAUAAUUGAUCCUAAGUAAGGUUAAAUAUAAAACAAAAAUUACUAGACUUAGGGAUUGCAUGAGAUGAAGCACUGAGAGACUGAGAGAAACCAUUGACUGAAGCCAUGUUGCAUAUUGAUUUACUGUCAGACUUGCAUAUGUUAAUUGAUGAAACUAGGAUGGGAAUGAGACCAAGGCAGAAUGGAAUGUGAUGGUGCAUGCGCUACCGUGGUGGUAGACUUGCGACCGAGCUCUGUCGUGGUGACAUCUCGGGUUUGGUUGGUUAUGGUUGUUGGCUGCUCUGAUGAGCCUUAAGGACCGAGUGUUGUGGUGCCAUCUCACCUAACCUACCUUCAGUACAACCACAUGAGCUUGUAUGGGUAAGCCUUAGUCUAAUCCCAAUGGCUAACCUAGUAGUCGUCCGAGGUGGAUAUGUUUUGCUGUGAGACCUGGAUUGGUCCAAACCCGGGGGUUCGUGAGCGACUAGUCGGGGUUGAGCCACGGCUGGGUGUCAGCUAUGACGGAGCCGUCUCUGGACGGUGAAGUGCAUGUGGGUAAAGCGUACAACCUCUGCAGAGUGUACAAUCCAUUAGAAUGGUCCGUGUCCUCGGUUUGGACAGGUUACGGUGUGGACAUCUCAACUAGUUGAGCCACCUAACUUAUGAGAUGGAUGACUGUUUGGGUUACCUUUAAUACUACAUUUGUUAUAUAGUCUGGUUGAUUAAUGGACCUUUGAAUAUUAAUCUGUAACUCCCUCCCCGCAAGGGUGAGGUGGGACUUACUGAGUACUUUCGUACUCAACCCUUGUUGAUUUUUUUUCCAGAGGAUCCUGACUUUGUGCCUGAAGAUUACGAGUACAUCGUGUCCGCACCCAAGCUGAUCGAGUGGAGCCGUGAUGGACGAAGAGCUAGUCUUGCAUGUCAUUGUGCUAAUCGUUAUCCUAUGGUUAUUUGCGGUAGCUUGGUGUUGUCACUUUAUCCCUCGUGUACGUGUUGAAUAAAGCUCUAUAUGACUUUGGACUC
Molecule: long non-coding RNA, 1765 nt
Organism: Panicum virgatum (switchgrass)
Lineage: Eukaryota; Viridiplantae; Streptophyta; Magnoliopsida; Poales; Poaceae
Exons: 2
Source: RefSeq, a predicted model, not a curated record